UAUACAUAUGAAGAUGUAUACUCAAGGUUACAUUAUUAUUUUAUGUCAAAAGGGUACAUCCGCUCAACUCCACUCCAUUCCAUCACCCGCUCAACCUGCACAUUAGGGAAAACAACAUGCAGGGCUGAGUAAAAAUACUCAGUGAACAUAUGCCGGAAACAUAACAUUUUAUAUCAUUUAUUGUACUGCCAACAGUAACACACAGGGUUUUACUUGAAGGACCUGUGCUUACUAAACAUUUUCUUUCAUUUCAUAAAGUUGGAUGCG
This 267-nucleotide long non-coding RNA is filed under the name Salvia miltiorrhiza (redroot sage). RNAcentral's name for it is "long non-coding RNA (SMIL_LNC000406)". The record is from RNAcentral. Lineage: Eukaryota; Viridiplantae; Streptophyta; Magnoliopsida; Lamiales; Lamiaceae.